This 105-nucleotide transfer RNA is filed under the name Burkholderia multivorans. RNAcentral describes it as "tRNA-Arg". The record is from RNAcentral. Lineage: Bacteria; Pseudomonadati; Pseudomonadota; Betaproteobacteria; Burkholderiales; Burkholderiaceae.
GCGUCCUGUAGACGCAGAAAUCAGCCGGAAAGCCGCGCUGCUAUUGGAUCUCUUACGACCCUCCGAAGGCAGGGGUUGCUGGUUCGAUCCCAGCCGGGCGCGCCA